GUGAACGCUGGCGGUAGGCCUAACACAUGCAAGUCGAACGGCAGCACGGUAAGAGCUUGCUCUUACGGGUGGCGAGUGGCGGACGGGUGAGGAAUACAUCGGAAUCUACUUUUUCGUGGGGGAUAACGUAGGGAAACUUACGCUAAUACCGCAUACGACCUACGGGUGAAGGCAGGGGAUCUUCGGACCUUGCGCGAUUGAAUGAGCCGAUGUCGGAUUAGCUAGUUGGCGGGGUAAAGGCCCACCAAGGCGACGAUCCGUAGCUGGUCUGAGAGGAUGAUCAGCCACACUGGAACUGAGACACGGUCCAGACUCCUACGGGAGGCAGCAGUGGGGAAUAUUGGACAAUAGGCGCAAGCCUGAUCCAGCCAUACCGCGUGGGUGAAGAAGGCCUUCGGGUUGUAAAGCCCUUUUGUUGGGAAAGAAAAGCAGCAGGUUAAUACCCCGCUGUUCUGACGGUACCCAAAGAAUAAGCACCGGCUAACUUCGUG
This 491-nucleotide ribosomal RNA is filed under the name uncultured bacterium. Its description in RNAcentral is "partial 16S ribosomal RNA". It matches the Rfam family "Bacterial small subunit ribosomal RNA", at positions 29 to 507 of the family's 1533-position model. The record is from RNAcentral.